This 253-nucleotide ribosomal RNA is filed under the name uncultured bacterium. RNAcentral describes it as "partial 16S ribosomal RNA". It matches the Rfam family "Bacterial small subunit ribosomal RNA", at positions 524 to 776 of the family's 1533-position model. The record is from RNAcentral.
UACGUAGGGGGCAAGCGUUAUCCGGAUUUACUGGGUGUAAAGGGAGCGUAGACGGCGAUGCAAGCCAGUUGUGAAAGCCCGGGGCUCAACCCCGGGACUGCAUUUGGAACUGUAUAGCUAGAGUGUCGGAGAGGCAGGCGGAAUUCCUAGUGUAGCGGUGAAAUGCGUAGAUAUUAGGAGGAACACCAGUGGCGAAGGCGGCCUGCUGGACGAUGACUGACGUUGAGGCUCGAAAGCGUGGGGAGCAAACAGG